This 224-nucleotide long non-coding RNA is filed under the name Lathyrus oleraceus (garden pea). RNAcentral describes it as "Pisum sativum (pea) long non-coding RNA (PSAT_LNC029166)". Lineage: Eukaryota; Viridiplantae; Streptophyta; Magnoliopsida; Fabales; Fabaceae. The record is from RNAcentral.
CCUAAUCUCAUCCAUACUUAUAUUGGUUUAUGAACCAACUAGCCUUAGGAUAUAGAGAUACCAUUGGUCAAUGAAAUGGAUGGGAUAGAAUGGGAUUAAAGAUGAAGAGGGAGGGGAAAUGAGACAAACACAAAUUGAUCAUGGGAGGAAUUUUAUCAAAUUAAAAUCAUUCAUUCAUUUUAGGAGAUGAAAUGUAUAUUUCAUCAAUCCCAUAAAACCAAUGA